Molecule: long non-coding RNA, 680 nt
Organism: Olea europaea var. sylvestris
Lineage: Eukaryota; Viridiplantae; Streptophyta; Magnoliopsida; Lamiales; Oleaceae
Exons: 2
Source: RefSeq, a predicted model, not a curated record
UUGGGAUGCCAUCGAUUCUCACUAGUUCAAGAACGCCCUCAAGCACUCCGCGAGUCUUCUCACCAAAUACCCAAAUAAUCCCUGUGCUCUUCAGGCUCAUCAUAAUAGCAAAACAAUGUCUAGAAGGCCCACUUCCACUCGUCACCUUACAGACAGUGGGAGCAAUCCAUUUGUGGGUUCAUUGCAUCCCAAAUCACGCCCAUCUCCUCUAUUAUCUAUAGGGCAUCUUUCUGUGGUAAGAGGUGGUGUCGUUAUCUUGACUGGUAGGAGGUGGUGUCGUUGGCAGGGUUGCCAAUCACAAACCUAUGUUGGACACAUUAUCAGUGCUGGAAAAUAAUGAUCUAGGAUUCCUCUUAUCUUCUAGUAGCUACGUUAGCACACAUGAUUAGAUACUGGAACACUUGUAGGCAGCAUAGAUUUUCUUGAUGCCAGCCUUGUAUGUAAAUUUCAUGACCAGUUGAGCACGGAAAAAUGAGUAAAUUUAAUGUGCUAAUAUAAAUUGAAGACAUCUCUGCAUCCAAUUGAGUGAUUGAUGAGUACUUAGAGAAUGCGGUCAUGUCAUAUUCAUUUACACUUGGUAUGUUUAAGUCAUUUUAUGUUGUAUUUAUACUUCCACAAGCUAACAAUUUUCCCUUUCAAGAUGUUUGAUAUUAGUAAUUUUACGCUGAAAUUCUCAUUUA